This 82-nucleotide transfer RNA is filed under the name Candidatus Portnoybacteria bacterium RBG_13_40_8. RNAcentral's name for it is "tRNA-Tyr". It matches the Rfam family "tRNA". Rfam says of the family: Transfer RNA (tRNA) molecules are approximately 80 nucleotides in length. Their secondary structure includes four short double-helical elements and three loops (D, anti-codon, and T loops). Lineage: Bacteria; Candidatus Portnoyibacteriota. RNAcentral also lists the same sequence under 4 other names. The record is from RNAcentral.
GGGCGGUUCGCAUAGCGGCAAUUGCUCCACGCUGUAAACGUGGCGUCUACGGACUGCGCAGGUUCGAGUCCUGCACCGCCCA